This 406-nucleotide ribosomal RNA is filed under the name uncultured bacterium. RNAcentral describes it as "partial 16S ribosomal RNA". It matches the Rfam family "Bacterial small subunit ribosomal RNA", at positions 30 to 526 of the family's 1533-position model. The record is from RNAcentral.
AUUGAACGCUGGCGGCAGGCCUAACACAUGCAAGUCGAACGAGUGGCGGACGGGUGAGUAAUGUCUGGGAAACUGCCUGAUGGAGGGGGAUAACUACUGGAAACGGUAGCUAAUACCGCAUACCAUCAGAUGUACCCAGAUGGGAUUAGCUAGUUGGUGGGGUAACGGCUCACCAAGGCGACGAUCCCUAGCUGGGCGGAGAGGGUGACCAGCCACACUGGAACGGAGACACGGUCCAGACGCCUACGGGAGGAAGCAGUGGGGAAUAUUCCACAAUGGGCGCAAGCCUGAUGCAGCCAUGCCGCGUGUAUGAAGAAGGUCUGCGGGUUUUAAAGUACUUUCAUCGGGGAGGCGUUACCCGCAGAAGAAGCACCGGCUAACUCCGUGCCAGCAGCCGCGGUAAUAC